This 644-nucleotide ribosomal RNA is filed under the name Alcaligenes faecalis. RNAcentral's name for it is "bacterial SSU rRNA". It matches the Rfam family "Bacterial small subunit ribosomal RNA", at positions 77 to 718 of the family's 1533-position model. Lineage: Bacteria; Pseudomonadati; Pseudomonadota; Betaproteobacteria; Burkholderiales; Alcaligenaceae. The record is from RNAcentral.
UGCUCUCUUGGCGGCGAGUGGCGGACGGGUGAGUAAUAUAUCGGAACGUGCCCAGUAGCGGGGGAUAACUACUCGAAAGAGUGGCUAAUACCGCAUACGCCCUACGGGGGAAAGGGGGGGAUCGCAAGACCUCUCACUAUUGGAGCGGCCGAUAUCGGAUUAGCUAGUUGGUGGGGUAAAGGCUCACCAAGGCAACGAUCCGUAGCUGGUUUGAGAGGACGACCAGCCACACUGGGACUGAGACACGGCCCAGACUCCUACGGGAGGCAGCAGUGGGGAAUUUUGGACAAUGGGGGAAACCCUGAUCCAGCCAUCCCGCGUGUAUGAUGAAGGCCUUCGGGUUGUAAAGUACUUUUGGCAGAGAAGAAAAGGUAUCCCCUAAUACGGGAUACUGCUGACGGUAUCUGCAGAAUAAGCACCGGCUAACUACGUGCCAGCAGCCGCGGUAAUACGUAGGGUGCAAGCGUUAAUCGGAAUUACUGGGCGUAAAGCGUGUGUAGGCGGUUCGGAAAGAAAGAUGUGAAAUCCCAGGGCUCAACCUUGGAACUGCAUUUUUAACUGCCGAGCUAGAGUAUGUCAGAGGGGGGGAGAAUUCCACGUGUAGCAGUGAAAUGCGUAGAUAUGUGGAGGAAUACCGAUGGCGA